Molecule: ribosomal RNA, 133 nt
Filed under: Lepisosteus oculatus (spotted gar)
Lineage: Eukaryota; Metazoa; Chordata; Actinopteri; Semionotiformes; Lepisosteidae
Source: RNAcentral
GCCAGCACCCAUAUCACUCUGCAACUCACAACUCACAACUCACAACUGGCAACCUAUUGCUGCUAAGCAGGUGUGAGCCUGCUCAGUACCUGGAUGGGAGACCUCCUGGGAAAAACUAAGGUUGCUGCUGGAA